AUUCUACUCCCUCUGUUGCACAAUACAUGCCUUCUAUUUGUCAAAAUAUAUAUGUAUCUAGACAUGUCUUAGUAUAUAGGUACAUCCAUUUUUGGACAAAUGGAAGUCAAGUAUUUUGGAACGGAGGGAGUACACA
Triticum aestivum (bread wheat) is the source of this 136-nucleotide non-coding RNA. Lineage: Eukaryota; Viridiplantae; Streptophyta; Magnoliopsida; Poales; Poaceae. The record is from Rfam.